AGUACUUCUUGAUGCUGCCACGUGAAGAAGGACAUGUUUGCUUCCCCUUCCACCAUGAUCCUAAGGCCUCCCCAGCCAUACAGAACUUCCCCAAACUACAAACACAAAGGAAGCUCCCAUGGAAUCGGAUGAUGGCACUGUACGAAUCAAGAUGCAGCUAGCAAUAAAAACAGAAGACACCAACACCAGCAGUCCAGAGACCUCCAGUAUAACAUAAAGUGUUCAUAGUAUCCUGAGGAUUCCAGUCACACAGGCUCAAACCUGAGGAUCACCCCGGAUCCUUCCUCUCCGUUGUCCGGAAAAAUCCUACCUCCUAUCCUUUCUAACCCUCCAUCCCACUGUCACUCCUCUAAUUCAGAAAUUUCUCUCCUUUCUUCCCCCAUGCACCCCAAUCUCAUAUAGUGGUGUGAUAUGAUUUGGCUCUGUGUCCCCAACCAAAGCUCAUCUUGUAGUUCCCAUAAUCCCCAUGUGUUAUGGGAGGGACCUGGUGGGAGAUGAUUGAAUCAUGAGGGUGGGUCUUUCCCAUGCUGUUCUCGUGAUAGUGAAUGGGUCUCACGAGAUCUGAUGGUUUUAAAAAUGGGAGUUUCUCUGCACAAGCCCUCUCUUUGCCUGCUGCCAUCCACGUAAGAUGUGACUUGCUCCUCCUUGCCUUCUGCCAUGAUUGUGAGGCCUCCCCAGCCACGUGGAACUGUAAGUCCAAUGAAACUCUUUCUUUCGUAAAUUGCCCAGUCUCUAGUAUGUCUUUAUCAACAGUGUGAAAACGGACUAAUACAUGGUGCCAGGCUGAGCAUUUGGAAACAGUGUUCUAACAAUGCCACUCAUCUGUUCCAAAAUUGCCAAAGGAUCCACACUGCCUAGAGUGAAAUUCAAAUGUGAGCCUGUAAAUCAAAGCGCUUCAUGAGUUCUUCCCAACCUACCUUUCCAUCACAGCCCAACAUCAGGCAAACAGAACCACUGUCUUCUCCGUUCAUUUCCCACUUGGUUCUACUUCUGGGUUUUGCUCUGUUUGGCAUGUGUUUUCCUGCAUCACUGCAUUUCCGAGUCUUACCCAUCCUUCAAAGUUCAUGUCACAUCACCUCCUGCAAGAACAUUCUCUGAUCCUCUCCUGCGUGCAUAAUCACUCCCUCUUUUGGACUCCUGCAACCCUGUGUGCCACUCUUUCGCACUGAGUAAAAGUAUGUGCAUUUC
RNAcentral lists this long non-coding RNA (1188 nucleotides) under Homo sapiens (human). RNAcentral describes it as "HSALNT0303707". Lineage: Eukaryota; Metazoa; Chordata; Mammalia; Primates; Hominidae. The record is from RNAcentral.